RNAcentral lists this ribosomal RNA (874 nucleotides) under bacterium ACEMC 8-8. RNAcentral's name for it is "bacterial SSU rRNA". It matches the Rfam family "Bacterial small subunit ribosomal RNA", at positions 55 to 918 of the family's 1533-position model. The record is from RNAcentral.
AUGCAAGUCGAGCGGUAGCACAGAGAAGCUUGCUUCUUGGGUGACGAGCGGCGGACGGGUGAGUAACGCGUGGGAAUCUACCUGGUAGUGGGGGACAACAGUCGGAAACGACUGCUAAUACCGCAUACGCCCUUCGGGGGAAAGUGGGGGAUCUUCGGACCUUACGCUAUCAGAUGAGCCCGCGUCGGAUUAGCUUGUUGGUGAGGUAAGAGCUCACCAAGGCGAUGAUCCGUAGCUGGUCUGAGAGGAUGACCAGCCACACUGGGACUGAGACACGGCCCAGACUCCUACGGGAGGCAGCAGUGGGGAAUAUUGGACAAUGGGGGCAACCCUGAUCCAGCCAUGCCGCGUGUGUGAAGAAGGCCUUCGGGUUGUAAAGCACUUUCAGCAGUGAGGAAAGGCGUAAGGUUAAUACCCUUGUGCUGUGACGUUAACUGCAGAAGAAGGACCGGCUAACUCCGUGCCAGCAGCCGCGGUAAUACGGAGGGUCCGAGCGUUAAUCGGAAUUACUGGGCGUAAAGCGCGCGUAGGUGGUUCAGUCAGUCAGAUGUGAAAGCCCCGGGCUCAACCUGGGAACUGCACCUGAUACUGCUGAGCUAGAGUACGGUAGAGGGUAGUGGAAUUUCCGGUGUAGCGGUGAAAUGCGUAGAGAUCGGAAGGAACACCAGUGGCGAAGGCGACUACCUGGACCGAUACUGACACUGAGGUGCGAAAGCGUGGGUAGCAAACAGGAUUAGAUACCCUGGUAGUCCACGCCGUAAACGAUGUCAACUAGCCGUUGGGGGACUUGAUCCUUUAGUGGCGAAGCUAACGCGAUAAGUUGACCGCCUGGGGAGUACGGCCGCAAGGUUAAAACUCAAAUGAAUUGACGGGG